This 17260-nucleotide long non-coding RNA is filed under the name Musa acuminata (dwarf banana). RNAcentral describes it as "long non-coding RNA (MACU_LNC008495)". Lineage: Eukaryota; Viridiplantae; Streptophyta; Magnoliopsida; Zingiberales; Musaceae. The record is from RNAcentral.
GAGUUUAGAGUUACGAGUGGAAUUCUUCUUAGGAGUUGUAUCCAGAAUAGGAGAUAGAGAAUCGGCUGGAGACAGAGAAUCAGAUAUAGAAGAUCAAGAUCCGUUUAUGAAUAAAGUACUGGUGCGCGGGCAGCUUUCCUUUGCUCGAGUGUGAAUUCUAUUCAAAAGAUGGAGUAGGGGAUAAAGUGCAAUUCAUUGGCCAAUAUGGGAGUCGCUUCUUAGGCACAUGAGGAAGCGGCCUAACAUCUUUGAAAUAGAAAUCCCAAUCAAAGACAAGUUCCACCUAUGGUCGUAGAUCAGCAGCUCAAUCCGCCGUUUCUUUCCCCUUUCUAUAAUAACUAUAGCUUCUUUCCCCUUUCUAUAAUAAGAGUAUAUAGAGUCAUAGUGAAAACCGAUACUGUCUAUAGAGUCAUAGUGAAAACCGAUACUUUGGGCUUUGGCCUAGCUUACUAAGCGCUAGUUCUAUCCCGGCCCGCUAGUUCCAUUUAGAUCUAAUAUGGAGCUUUGAGGUUCAGCACCUAGUUAAUCAAAAGCGAGUCUUCGUCACAACACAAAUGGAAUUGCAAAACUGAGGAGAGAUCUAGAAUAGAAAACAAACCAAGGCGCCCGUGCUUGCUCUAUGGUUAUUGUUUUAGCCUGGUAAUCACUGGUUCGGUGCGCCGAAAUCCCUACUAUUCUCAAUCUACCCUUAGGAGGGCAGGAAAGAGCUCGUGCGGAUAAGUUACGGCCGUCGCAGCCUUCGAUAAACGAAUUCCCAUCACUAAUACACAAGAAGAAUAAAGAAACCCAGAAGCGGAAACACUCUUGUUUACUCCGCAGCCGAGGGAGCUUCCUAAAGAGCACACCUGAGAUACGGAGGGAUGGUAUUAUUAUUAUGCAGCUAGAGCCAAGGCAGAAAGGCUUUAGUGGAGUCUCUUUCAGUUCGCGAGGAAAGGAUACUAUUGUUCCAGAUUCAAGUCUUGUUCCCCAGUCAUCAAGUACUAGAUCGGAAUAAACAGAAUCAUUUGCCUAGCCAGGCAUAGGGGCGGGGUUAACUCAUUGAAGUAACAAAAAGGACUACCUCUCCUCUGGCUCUUGAAACUAACCCACUCCAGUUCGUUUUCUACCGGAAUUCUUCUCCAAGCCAAAGGCAAAACAGGUAGUCAAUUCCAUUCCUCAGUAGUGAAGUUACUUGGCCGACUUUUCUGGAUUAUUUGCAUUUUGAGAAAAUUGAUUCAUCGUGUUUGAUAGCAAUUCCAGACUUCAAGUAGGGAGGUCGGGUCAUCUAACUCAAUUUCUUUGAUAUGCGAAUGAGGCUCUCUUCUCUUCUGGCCUCCAUCUCUUCUCUUCUUGCCUUUCAACUGAGCUUGUAGUUACUUGUCUAGUAGUUACUAGUCGGUGUUCAAGCAGGGGUCGGGGCAUCAUAAAGUACUUUUCUUCAGCUCACUUACGCAGAACUCCCUAACGCCCGAACAAAGGACUUUGUGUUGGUGUUAACUGGAGUUGCUUGUCUCUCCUGUUCGAUAGUUUUCUACCUGAAUUCUUUUCCUCUUUGUUAUACCAGCAUUCUGCUCCUCUGUUUUCUAGCUUUCCGUAGAUAUAUCUGUAUUGAGGUAAUGCCAGAGAACCCGACAGAAGACACACAAGCGUGGCGGAACCUUACUGAGCAGGAUGUUAAAGCUGAAGGCGCUGACUUAGAAGAGCUGAAUGCCGUGGUAUAUUAUGCAGCAUGGCCGGUACAAGCCUAUAUACAAGGGUUCAAUGUAUCCAACAAUAUUGCAUUAACAUACACGCAGAAGGAGACCUCCCAGCUGGAAGAGUGGAUCUCAUCUCAUCAGGGUGAGGGUGAUGAUAGUAUCUAAACUAUUGUAGAGAGGAAGGUCCCCCUUAAGAUUCAUGGAGGAACUGUCGCUGCUGCCGUUCAAACCAUAAGUCAAACCAGAAAAGGAUUGGUCUUACAGGAGAGGUGGGAAAAAGAGGAAGAUUGAGAAGCUACCUAAGUUUCCCUAUUUAUAGGUGAGUUCGUUACGCAUUGAAUAAAGACUGUAGGUAUGACAGAGCAACCGAAGCUUCUGUAGACCUAGCUCCCGAGGAAGCAGUAAGGAGUGAGUUCAAAAGGAGACUUAUUUGCGUCUAGGAAAGUUUCUAGGGUUGGUUUUAAGGAGCACAUGCUUAGAUCCUCCAUAUCCAUUGUAUUGUACCUAUGCGGAUAACAAGUAUAAUAUAGUCAACUAGUAUAUGAAGGGGUUUCCUUUCUAGGCUCAGUAGUAGUGAGAUUCUGAUAGUAGUCGUGGUGGCUAGCUUCUUUGCAUUUCGCUUAGGUCCUAUACUUAUGAGUUCAUUUCUUUUACUUACUAGCUGGGUUCUGUUACUUGUUAGUGAAAUCCAUUAGACCCUAGGCUUUCAGCACCUUGCUUGUUUGACUUUCAUCGUAUUAAGAUAAGAAGAUAAGCUCUUUUCAAAUGCCCACGUAGCGCUCAAGGGAAUCCAAAAGUCAAGGCAUAUCACCAUCAGUACGCUGUCGAAAAAAGAGAAAUCAGUAGGAUAUAUAGGAGCCUACCAGAAUUAGGAGAUUAUUGGUAGCCUAAGCUGCAGUGUCUAGCUUUCUCUUCCUAUGGUCAAGUUCGCUUUUGCUUCCUCUCUCUCCGCUUUGCCAGCAUCUUUCCAAUCCUUCCUUACUGGUAUAACUCUUAGACUUUCCAAUCCUUCCUUACUGGUAUAACUCUUAGACUCUACGCUGAUCCUCCCUAUAGAAGUUAUCAGACUGAGCCUCCCUAUAGAAGUCUUAGGACGAGAACAAGCAAGCAAUUAUUAGUAUCUAGUAUCUUAGGACGAGAACAAGCAAAGAGUAAUCAACGUCUUAGAUACAGCGCAAACAAGCUUAGGGUAGGUGGGCAGCUGAACAAGCAAGUGGUGGAGAACAAGCAAGUGGAGCUUUCUGUAAACUGGAGUUAGAGCCGUAGGAUAAGUUCCAUUGGAGAUUUGUAUCGAGCAUUACCCCCUGUAGAAAGAAUGGAAUCAAUAAGAGCAAGGACGAAACAGUGCCCUGUACAAAAGGACUUAAACUGAGAAGUCAGAAUAAGCUAAGCUACUGACCCUAACGAAUAGAACAGAACAGGUGCUUAUACUACGGUAUAGAACAGAACAGGGUGCUUCUACCACGUUAACUCGAUAUAGGGAAGCCAACUAUACUACCUAUAAGCAUGAAUCUGGGAACUCCUUCUUUAACACUGGGACAUAAACCCGGCUUUCCUGUCUUUUCUUCUUGUGAUCCCGCCCUUGAUUACUAUGUUAGAGUUCGGUCUUCUACUGUUUAUCCUCAUUCCUUAUUCCUAUUGGUGUACCUGCUCAUUGGUGUAUGAGUUUACUGCAUAAGGUAUCUCAUAAGGUAUAUUCUCAGAAUAUCAUAAGGUAUAUUCUCAUCAAAAUAAUCGUAGUAUAAGGAAGGAGCAAGGGUUAGCAAGUAAGACUAUAAGAAGGUAGUUCCAGACUGACUUUUAUAUGAUGGCUCAAUACAAGAAGAAAGCGUUGCUUGGGAGUAAGCAAGGGUUCAAGACGGUCGAGUCAUACUUGGAGUGAACCUUAGAGACACGAGUGGAAGAGUAGUAGUUAUAGGAGUUGGGGUUGGAGAAUGAGAAUAGAAGCGAGGGUGCCCCAGGUUCAUUCUGAUGCUUGGGACUAGUUUUGUGACUACUGGAGUGGCCCCUUCUUUUGCUACUUAGUUUGACUCUUUUUCUUAUGGCUCUUUUCCUUUUAGCAACCAAAGGAUCCACUUUGAAUCCCAGGGAGCAGUUUAAGACUUGAGUCAAAUAUUACAUAAUACAAAUAAGGGUAGUAAGCCCCCGAGAAGCACUAGUCGCAGCCUGAGGUACAGGGAUAGUUAGGCUGUUAGCGCUGGACAGGGGGACAGAUUUGAGAUCAGUAUUAGUGGACUGAAUUUCCGUAUGAGAUCAGUAGUCUGUUGACUUAAUGGUAGUAGCGACAUACUUAUAUAGAGGAGAUAUGUAUUGGGAUGAAGCAGUCCUGUCCUAGAAUCAAAGACAGGAAAGUAAGGGCAGCUUUAGCUGGCUGCUGGCUGGUAGUUCCACUCUUUCCGGUAGUAUUUCCAUUAUUAUUAUAUUCCUCCCCUCUGGGGUGUCAGUUUCCAAGCAAGUAGCGGUAGACUUUGUUUAUAAAGCGUUUCCCAGUCUCAUACGCCGGGUUUCUAUUCUCCUAGGGGCAAGAUCAAUUCUAUAUUCUUCUAUUUAUUCCAAUGGGCAUUCCUAUAGUUGUGAGUUCACAGUCACCAAGCUACUACAGUUUAAGAGCCAACUACUCGUUUACUAGUUGGGGCCAAAAGCAGGUUAACUCUUUACUACUCUACUACUAGUUCUAUUACUAUAUGCGGGCAAAGUCACUACUAGCUUAACUUAAAUGUGAACAAACCCUCCAGAGCGAGUCCUUCCUUCUCCUUCAUCGGCUAAUGCGAGUUCUUUAGCUAACGGAGCUUAACGUUACUUGCUUAACUCUACAGAAGCGCCCGAGCGGAGCAGCUAUUCCUUUCUGCUUGCAGGCUUUGGCGUUCACUAAUGAAGAAACACCUCUGGAACUAAUUAAUAAACUCUCUCUCUUUAGACUCUCUCUCUUGCCUUGCCUUUGAUUAUUGCCUUCUUUCUUUCUUCCUUCUCUUCUUCAUCGGUAAGUAAAUCAGUGUCAUCCAUCGUAUCUAGAAUCUGGAAUGCUUAGCGACGCCCACUAUGCGGUAUACAACUUAUUAGGCAAACAAAGAGUGUGAUAAAGAAGAAAGGGCAAAAGCUACGGACUCAAUGGAGCUCCUGCCAGAACAACUUCCGCUGUUGAACAAACACAGCACAGCAUUGCUUCAUAAUAUCUAAUAUGGGCAGGGCAGCCUCCCCCUAGCUUAAAGUAUAGAAUUCUGUCCCUUGUGCUUUCAAAAGUCCUAUAUUAUUGCACCCUUGCUGUCAAGUUACAGAAUUGGAGCCCUAGCUUUCAAGUAGCUUUUCAAGUACAUAAUUAUUGUCCUAGCUAGCUUAUUGUGAAGAGAGUUUACAGUUCCAUUGCUUUCAGGUAAAGGUUCGGCAUUGCUUGUUGAGAAAGCUUUUUUCAUCGAGUUUUGUUUGAGUAUGGUAUGGGUGUUUUAGAAGGCAAAGGCAGUAAGUAAAGGAGAGUUCGAGUUCAAGUUGCAAGAGCAGAGCAGGAUAUGAGGCUUGAUCAGGAGAAUCCGUUGGAGAGUUAGGAUCUUGAGUAGGAACAGAAGCGGAAUGCCCAGAUGAAGCGCGGUGCGGGUUCUUCACAGAAAGUCUUGUUCGGGUGUUUAAGAAUCAUCGGGCUUUGAAACAGAAGCUGUAGACUCAGGAGCAGUUACUAGAGGAAAUGAUGUUUCAGUUCUAAAGUAAAGGUUCGGGUAAGUAAAGUACUCAUACCUCUAUUACGGGUAUAAAGUCAAAGUGCUAAAGUCAGGAUCAACAGAAUAAUAAGUGUUCGGGUAUUCUUCUAUAGCGCAUCUUUCGAAUUCAUAUUAGUCUAAUUAAGAAUUCAAUAAGGUAUUCCAAUGGCGCAUGGUUUGUUACCCAUAUCUAUCAUACCUGGAAAAUGAUUCUUCUGGCCGACUACUACUCUGGAAAGGCCCUUACCCGGGCGAGCAACUACGAAAGAAACAAAGAGAAUAAUAAUUAGUUGCAUCUUAAAUCCUAUCUCUCCAGCCUUUGACUGUUCCCCUCCGCCCUUGCUUUUCAUACACCUUACUACCUCCGUCCUUGCUUUGGUUCUGACUUUUCUUAUUCUUAUUCUAGUACUACUCACUUUGAUUCUUGAACUAUGGAUUCGGAUCCUAUGCUCGACUAUGGAGUAUGUGACCCCUGCCUCAAAGUCUUCCUUUUGAUCGCCGCCAAUAACUAGCUCACUCUUAAACUAAUGCUAACAGGGCUAUGGCUCACAACUAGGGAAUUGAGUUACUCCCGACAAUACUUUCCUGUAGUACACUUAAGCAUACCUGUACUGAUGAGAAGCCAACUACUACUAAUAAGGAUCAAUAUGGGAACUCAGACUUACUCGUUAGCCCACCGCUCCUAUCUGGAAUUCUGAAGUUACUAGCUGGUUCUUUCAACCCCAACAAAACAAUACUAAAGACUAUUGCACGUUACAAAGAAGAGUUUGUAUUCAACUGCUUUCUUGUAUUCCCGAUUCCGAUCUGGUGUAUUGAGUUUAAGCCCUCCAUGCCCUAUUUAGAAUCUCUUAUGCGCCUUAACAUUCCUAAAUUCCAGUGAAAGCCUUAUUCCUAAAUUCCAGUGAAAGCCUUAUUAUUGCCAUUAUUGCGGAUUAUCGGUAUUCUUAUUAGUAUGCUUUGUCCGGUAUCCUUGCCAAAGAGUUCAUCGACGCCCCUACUGGUUGAUUCAUAUUCUAGCUAACUAGGAAUUGAGCACUGCCCACCUACCCUAGAUUGAGCCACUGUUCUUAUAGACUCGAACUCAGAACUAGGUGCUGAAAGCCUACUGACAACAAGGAGCGAACGUGCCCUAGUAGACUAAACAAAAAACGGGAAUCCAAUCCUGCUAACAAGCCUGCUGCUACUGAACUUCAAGCUGCUCUUCCUUACAUCUAAAUCUGACUUUUGACUUGAUUUCAAUCUCAAACUAGUGCUUCUCAUAAUAAGAGGAGCUACCGGCGACACGGCUUUCACUUCUCUGCUAUAAAUGGCACUUCCCCUAAAGCCUAUUAGGCUGCUCUUCCUUACUUAUAUUCUUCAACUGAUUGGAGCCAAGCCUUACUUUACUGCAUAUCAGACUUAUACUGAUGUCCUCAAUGCCUAGCUCAAAGCAACCUCUACCGUCUGGCACUCUUCAACUACUAAAAGGGAAUGUCACUGUCAACUAGAAAACUUAUAUCACCAAUAAAAAGAGUAGUUGCUUGGCCUGUAACUCCCUCGGUUCAUCCUGGUUAGCACUAGUUGAAGUCUUAGUCCUAUCAGUAGUAUUGGUCAAGGCUUCUAACUAACCAGUUCCAUUCCUUGCCCUAGUGGUUUGAUUCUUGCACUUACUAGCUCCAUCCUAUGUCUUACGGAUUUGAUUCUGAGUUAAGUAAGUAGUAGAGGGAAGGUGGGAAUUCACACUUCCUACCCUUUGGCUGAGUCUACUACCGACCAGUUGCACUCUUCUAGUUACUGGUGGAAGUCUUAAGUAGAUAUAUCAGAAGCACUAGCACUGGGUUAAGCCUUAGCUGUAGUGGUUAGAGAACUUAGCUACCUAGCUAGAGGAUGAGUAGACACCGCUUCAGUCUGAUAAUACCUAGCAGCAAGUGAGUGAAGCCUGUAACUCGGACCGGAUAGCCUGUAACACCAUAGCGGAAGUCUGGUCGGUACCGAUUUCAGUCUGAGUGACACUAUCUCCAUUCUUUGAUUUAGCGGUUUGAGGCACCAAGCAACUACUAAUGUUGCGCGUUAGCAAGUCCGGGACUGCUUAGCUUCAUUCUGAGGCAUAUGGGUUUGGUUCUGUAAUUGGUUAGCUCCAUUCUUGCCCUUGGGUCGGAUAGCCUAUCACUCCUUUCUGUGGGCCUACCCUAGCUCCACUCUGUCACUCCUUAGCUCCAUUCUGAGCCUACCCGGUCGAAGUCCGAGCAGCGGUGGUUCUAGACCAUGUAGCAGAGCACCAGUCCCGUUAGCAGUGAGUUAAGCCUGUAACUCGGGUCGUAUAGCCUGUUGGUUGGGGUGGGGACACAUUCUGAGUGGUACCGGGUGAAGUCUUGAUGGUAGUGCUAUCAGGCUUGGACUUACUGCUUUGAUUCUUGUUUCCUUAAUAAAGAUAGAUCAAAUUAUCUACUCGCCAAGUAACUCCUAAUGUGUAGCGGCAGUGAGCUACCCCCUACUAUGUGUAUACUGAUUGGGUACUUGAAAAUGUCUUCCACUUUUCUGCUUUAUUUGUUCUUUCUUAUCAAAUUAUUCACGCCUCUGGGCAAGAGGGCAGGGCCACUAGUCAAUCACAUGGCAAGCAUCUUUUCUCUCUUUACUAGGGAUUACACUCGGGAAGCUAAGGUAUUCAACUCACACUCACUCACAACUAGGAGCCAGGCAACUACUGUUCUAAGAGCUAACUACUCGUAUACUAGGAGCUACAGCACCAAACAACACUUCUUUUUUAAGAAACCCGGGUAUUUUCAUAGCACUCAGAUUUUCCCUCCUGAGCCGGUCCAAAGGCAUGCUCUUUUUUAAGAAACCCGGGAUUUUGGGCAGCAACCAUGGGUUCCCUCCUGAGCCGAUCAAUUACUCUUCUUUUUUCACGUUUUCCCGGGAAACAGCGCUGGCGCGUAACAUUAGUAGUUACUUGCCUGAUAGCAAAGAUCUUUUCCUUCCUGGAGCACCUAUUGGGAAUUCGAUUUGUGCGUUUUCCCGUGAAACAGCGCUGGCGCGUAACAUUAGUAGUUACUUGCCUGAUAGCAAUAUGUAUAAAGUGGUUGACUCGACCUCUGCUCAGGCUACUCAUACUGAUUCCACUGGACCAGACACCUCUACUUGUAAACUUCAGACUAAACAAGGGAGUCAGCAGCCAAUCUCUAUCCUCUGGACUAGCUUGCCCACCUCCUAAACUGGUUCUCUUGCCUCUCUAUCCUCUGGCUACUCGGUCUGAAACUCUUCCUCUCACUGGCACCUGGCACUUGACCUGGACCUGACAUGACUUAACGCUGAAGUAAACUAAUCAUUCCACUCAUAGGGCAUCAAAGCCUUUACUUUCUUAUUACCUUAACUGGCUUCCUGUCUUUCUCUUUUCCUUGGUCGCUACUUGGCCCACCUCUCUUAUCUUGCCAACUAAACCUAUCUAGUUGUUGGAGACGAGUAUCUUUCUUUUCUGGUUGAAUCCCCAACAAGCAAUGGGAGAGAGGCGACCCUAGUCUUAUACACUUACUUAUACAAAGGCAAAGAGCCAAGCAACGAGACAAGGCCUACCGGUCUGAAACUCAUCAAUAAAACCCGGGUUCGGGCACAGGACUACUAACUACUGGUUGGGUCAAUCACUCCACUUUCAGAAUCGAUCUCACAAUUAAGUACUACUUUCCACUCUUAACUUCAAGCCUCCACCUCUGACCUAUGGCUACUCCACCUAUGUCAACUGUCAACUACUACUGAUUCUUAAGCCCCUCUUGCUAAAAAUACUUGAUUCAAUCUUUCUUGUUUAGCGCCCGUUUUCAUUGAGAGAUAGAGUACUGGGUUGGAUAGUUACCCAUAUUAUCCAUUAUACACCUGCGGCUAAUUCCUCUGUUUCUGACUUUUCAACUAGAGAAACUUGACUUCUGUCGAUCCCAGGUUGUCGGGUCUAAAGUAUCUGUUAGAUUCCAUUCCAGUUGUUGAAGAGGUCAGGGGUUGAUGAACAAUAAGUGACUUUCGUUUUUAGUUGAAAGCACAUAGAGGUUGGCGAGGGAGAGGUCCAUUCCUGCAUUGGCUCGGUCGGUGUUUGCCCGUCAGGCCAAGGUGUUAGUAGCUGUUAGGGAGUCUAGAAUGACUAGAAUUACUAGAAUUACCUGGAAAGCUAUAGUAGUAGGUGUUGUUGCUCUGUCCGUUAUGAAAGUUUAGUUGAAAGUAGUACGUACUUACGCGGUGUUGGCGGUAAACUCCCUUCCCUGACUUUCUUUGCCUUUGUAGUAGUAGCUUUCAUGGCUGCCAGGUAUCAAACAAAAGUCAUUGCUCCCCUACGCCUGCCUUUAAGAAUUGAGUUAAGGAAACUACAACUAAUGGGGAAAGAAUGAAUUACUACCCUGAUUUACAGCAAUCGCGCAUUCCCCUAUCUAAAGGAGGUAAGGUAUGGGAAGAAACAGGCCAAGCAACUAGACAAGUAACUGCACAAGUGGUAUAUUUGAAGUAGUUUUAUUACCAGUGUUUUAUCCGGUGCGGUAGGAGUUUUGUUCUAGCGUUAGCAAGCUCAAUUAAGUAUAUAGUACGAGUCAUAAGUCAGUCCUGCUCGUUGGGUUCUGCAAGUGAAGGCGAGGGAGGAAAGUGACCUUCAAUCAGAGGCGUCAGUAAGCACUAACUAAAGGAAAAACUGCUGUGCUUGUUUCAUUCAGUAGGCAUAGUGGUCUGGUCCAUACUAUAACAGUGGGCGUAGUGGUCCAAGUGGAGUUGGGGCAAUAAGAAUCAUUCCAUUAGAAGCAUAGCCCGCAGUAACCUUUGAUUGCACUUCUUCUCUUGUUCCUGUAGUUUGAUACACCUUCUCUGUAGUAUCGGUGGUUGGCGAACACAGGACUUGGCACCAGUGGAUCUUAAGUACACAAAGAAUUCUACUACUACUGGGGGCUAGUUGAAAUAAGAAUAGUUAUUCAAUAAUAAUAGUAAUAGGAAUAGAUCUAGCUGGUACGAGGGAUAGGCUAGUUUACUUACUUGCUAGUUAGGGUAGGGUAGUCAAAAGAGAGUACUGACUAGUUUUCUUCCAAUACAAGGGAGUAGUUGCCCUAGAUUGAAGUUGGGGCUGUUUCAUCUGUAUUUGUUAGUUGACAGAGUCGAGGUCGGGUACAUAGAUGAUAGGCUGUUCGCGAGGUCAGUUAUUCUUAUGAGUUGCCUUGGAGCUAAGGAGUCAAAGAAAUACUGAUACUUGCCUUAUACUAGAUGCGUAAGAGCGGAAGAAAGAUCUGACUUAGUUUCAUAUCCCUUGUUUAGUCUGAAGUUGACAAGUAUUGUAGUAGUCCUUUUGAAUCAGUAUUUGUUUACAGAGGAGAGGCGAGGGAAGCUAUGAAAAGCCAGAGCAGUAGCUUGGCCCCUUGCUUUAAGAGUCAUUUAGCGUGGAUAGUUCUAUUAAUUCCAUUCUCAAGGUUAACUCCACUUGAAACUUAUAUGAUAUCGGCAACUACAGUUGUUAACUCUCUAACGCUUCUAAACUCCGUGCACAAGUAAAACAAAGGAUUAAUAGAAUAUUUCGCGAUCAACAACUCCCUGCUCAUUAGCGAACUCAACUGUCUUCAGCUUCAAACUUGCUAACCUCCACUCACUUAAGAACGCCGACGACUUACCAGUACUAGAUUGGCGCACCCACUUGUUUACCUUUUGAUUUGCUUGUUUAUUGUUCUUAAUUCGGCUUAUUAUUCGUUACUCAUCCCAUCACUUGCUUUUUACUUGUUCACUUGUAAGAAAAGAGGAUUUAUUGUGAACCCUAUACUUGGGUACUUGACUUCUUGCCUUGCUUGUUCGGUUUGUCGACUCUAAAUCUGGUAUUGGCACAGGAUCAUCAGCGUAGGUCCACAGAUGUAGCAUUAAAGUCAACCGAUGGAGCAGAGAGAGCUCAACGAGAUCUACAGCUUGAGAAGAAUCAAACGAAAACUUAGAUGCGGGGUGAAGGCGCUCCGAUCCCUGGGUUUCUGGCUCUAGUACUAUUGCUUGCCCCUGCUUGUGUCAUCCCGGUAGCUCAGGUUAGGGUGGAAAGGGAGUAGUUCCAGUGAAGAAAGUAUGGUGAGAAGAGGUCGGCUUGGUAAGCUAUUCAAAUGUAGUUGAGAGUAGCUAGUUGUCUGCUCAUAACUCUAGAAAACAGCCCAGUUUCCCCGGUAGUCCUGUUCGAGUAAGUAUAAGACUCAGAAUGAAACCAGUAAGUAAAAGAAUGAACUAGUCAGUAGAAGAAUGGAACGAGUCAACUGAUUGCCCGAUGCUAUAGUAGUGACUUGCCCAGUAGCUUGGCCCCCGAAGCCCAAUACUCGGCUAGUAAGCCUUAAGUGUUGAGUAAGUGAGUAGUAAGUCAGUAGUUAUUAGUAAGUCAGUAGUAAGUGAGUAGUAUAAAUACAGAUUCCCCGAAGAAGGAAGCCCAGAAGAAGAAGUAAGCCCAGAAGAAGGGAGUAAUCCGUCAACUUAUGAGUAAGCCCGAAGGAAGUUACUAGUUAUGAAGCCCUUAAGUUAAUGUAGUCGUUAUGAAUUCUUUGACUUAGGAGUUGGAUUCCCAUUAUCGGUUAGUUAAGCCCGAGUAGUUCCCAGUUCCGUAUUAAAAGCACUAGUGUAUUUCUUUCUCUUAAAAGCACUAGUGUAUUUCUUUCUCUUAAUGGAAAGUAUUCGAGUUUUGGGAUGCUAUAGAAUGAGAUAGAGCAAUCGAAUAAUCCAAAAGUGCUAUAGAAUGAGAUAGAGCAAUCGAAUAAUCAAAGUAAGUAGGCUCCAGAAUAGAAGUCACAAGUGGGAGGGCUUGGUGGUUUGUGGAGUCAGUCUUCUAAUGGGAGGGCUUGGUGGUUUGUGGAGUCAGUCUUCUAAGUAUAAGGUUGAUUCUCAUAGUAGGUAGUUGCUUGGUGGCUACUAGUUUAGAUACAUACUUUAGGGCGGUAGGGUAAGGCCGAAGCUUCAAGUCAAGAAUAAGAUACAGGGUCGUAAGCCAGUUAGUUGGCCUUAUUGCAGGGCAUACCGAUCGGCAGGUUCAUAAUAAUUGCUUUUUUCGUGUUGGGGAUGUAGAAUCAAAUCAAGGGGAGGUAGUUUGAUAAGCACCAAGGGUUCGGAUCCUAAUUAAGUAUUCCUAGAUUGCCGAGUCACUAAAGAAUACAAAGUGGGCAAUGCGGACUUAAAGCAAGUAGCAAGCAGACUUAUAGCUAAGAGGGGCAGACUAAGAAGCUAGAGUUACAGAAUCAAACAAGGGAGUGAAGGACUGUCCCGCUCACUUACGUUAAAAACUUUACUUGCAGAGGACGGGACAGGAGUUUUCCAAUUCUGAGUUUACUCGGCUAAUGGAAAGGGAGUUUACUAUGACAAAUCUUACGCAUCGGUAUUGGUGAAAGGAUCCGAAUGAUACAAGUAAAUAAAGGAAGAAAACGAAGUUCUGGACUACUUACUCUACUGUAAGCCAAACACUACUUAGGAAAGAAAGUCAACUGGUCCCCUUAAGUAAUUGGCAUGAGAGGUAGCAGGUAAGAGAGGGGUUUUCAUUCCUAUGUUAGAGAACAUGCCCUUAAGUUCCAUUUGUUAGAGAGCAUGCCCUUAAGUUCCAUUAUGAAUUCAGGUAAGGUUUCCUUGGCGCAAGAAAGAUGACUGUUUUCUCGGCGUGUAAGGAGAAAGUUGGCAAUGCUCUUCAAUUCCUAAUAAUAUAGAAAAUCCGUUCAAGUUCCAUUCAUCUUUUAGAACAUCCGUGUUGUGUUAAGGUUCAAUUCAUCUUGCCCUCGGCGCUUACUGAGUGGAAUUAAGCAACGCGAGGAGUUUCAAUUACAACCCUUAUAUAGGCAUCCAUUAUGAAAUUUACCUUAUAUAGAUCCGUUAAUAAAUUCUGAAUGGAGGUUAGCGUGUUCAAUCCCUAUCUUAUAUAUAGCAUGCAGUGAAAGUGAAAUCCAAAUCUUUGAGUUUACUCGCCGUUACGCUAAUGCUUAUACAGUUUGGGGUGCAAAGGCGAGCUCACCGUUCAAUUGAUCUGCACUAACAGGAUGAAAUGAUGAGUUUAGAGACCGUAUAAUGUUGAGGCUAUAUUGGGCGAGACCUACUAUACUAGCAAGAAAUACUAUCUACUCUACCUCAGCAAUAGAGAUGAGCAUUCAAUUAUAUAUUUCUAUAGGAUGAAAGUAAAACCUCACAUCGAUUCAUUCUUCUUGAUAAAGGAUAUAGGAGAAAACACUCAAACAGAAGGGCCAAGUUCACGCCGAAAGACUCAAACUUCACUCGUUCAUAGCGUUAGUUAGCUUUGGUAUAGAAAAGAGUUACCUAAUCGCUUCUGAUCCAUAAGAUUAUCCUACUCUUACUGAAGACCCAUAUAUUGCUGCUGAAGUUAGGAUCUGUAUCCCGAUCUUCACUCUACUAACAGCAUCCCUUUUCUCUGUCAGUUCAAUUCCAUUCAAAAGGGUAACUCCACUUGAAAGGUCUUGGGUAACUGAAUCAGCUGGAGAAGAAUCCAGAUUAUCAGCUAGAGAAUAUAAGGGAUCAGACUCUGUGGCUAAGGUUUCAGAAUUAUUUGUUGAAACCUCGACGAAAACUGUCCUUAGUACUUGUUGAAUGAAAUGUAGGUCUCAUCUCUUAUAGAUGUUGUUUGUAACAAUACCUAUUGUCUAAGCCUUAUAUACGUGGUAAACUUAUUGUCCCGAAGAAGCAGUGAGAGUUGAAUACCAAACAAACUAGUAUACGAGUAGUUUCAUCCCAAGUUUGAUUCUUAAAUGACUUUUUCCUAGUUUAGAGUUCCAUUCAGUAAUUCCUACUUUGUGGACUACUUAGUUCCAUUCCGAGUCUACUACUAGAUGCUUGUCUUUCCACUCAAGUACUGUAGCUUGGUCAUUAGUCGUUACUUGCUGGGGGAACGAGUCCUGUGUUUGGGGUCUGUACAAGUUAUUACCAAGUCCUGUUUUUGGGAGCCUGUUGCAGUGCGCAAGUAAGCUUAUUCAUUGCCUGACCUUACUAUUAAUUGGAAAGUCAACUAUACUGCCGAUGCUGCCCAACAAAGAUAAGCGAGACCAGACCAGGCUUCCUCUCUUUCAACAGCGGCUUCUCUUUCUUAUGAGUCUUCUCCUUUCGAUAUAUACUUUCCAUUAGAGUACCUGUAAGUUCUAACUUCGUAUUACUUGAUAACUUCCUUCUAUCUACUUAAGAUAAGACUUCCGUCUAUCUACUUAAGAUAAGCUUGAUAACUUCCUUCUAUCUACUUAAGAUAAGAAAGGAGUGGCAGGCACAUCAACCAUUUCAUUUGAGUGUCCUGUGUUUGGGGGAAACCUCAUUUUAAGGGAAAUCCUUUACUCUGUCUCUUGACCCCAGCGCAGAUCAAUUGAACUUUCACUAUCACCAAAACAGGGGUUCAGCCUCUACUUUCCGCCUCUACUUGAUUGAUUUCUGUCCUUACCGCUUUCAACUCUCAAUCCGGUCUUAAACAAAUAGUCAUGGUUCUUCCCCUUUGUCAACUUCUUCAGAAGCAGUUUCAAGAUCAGACUUAGUUGACAGAGCCAGAAGAUAGGUAUAGUAGAGGGCAAGUAGUAAGUACGAAUUCCGGUAUAUGAGAUGCUCUAGUCCAGAGGAUAGAGAGGCAAGGGAACCAGUGGAAUCAGUAUUAUCAGCAAGCGGGGUAGUAUAUAAGUCUCCAGUUUACAAGUAGUUGUCCAAGUCAUCUAUGCGAGGCUUUGAAGCGGUAAGUCUGUCAUCUCAACAAAGAAUCAAUUCCCUCUAAAGCGCUAACAGGAACAAGAGGAGAGUAAGUGCCAGUUGCAUCAUCUAUAAGAUCAUCUGUUCGCCUAGUUCGAAUGUUAUUAUCUAUUAUUAUUAUCAAAUAUCAAAUCUAUUAUUAUUAAGAUGUUACCACAGUAUUGUCUCUAACUAGACCCUUAUUGGCUUUGGACAUCAACCUUGUUAUUGUUUUCUUGCGCCUACCCGUGCUUUCUAUCCGGAUUUUGACCUUUGCUACAUCGUUUUCUUGCUUGUCCGUUUCAUUAUUCCCUUCUUUAGCUGUUGUCUUAGAUGACUAACUAGAAGACUUAUCUUAGUGAGUAGUAGUCGUAGUGGUCCGAAUGCCUAUACUUAUCAACUCAAUGCCUAUGGCGAGGUUAAUUCAGUUACUAUUGAGAUAAAUGCCGUAUAUACCUUUGAACUCUGUUACUACUGCCUUAAAGUCCUUGCUUAUUGGUUAAAGAAACCAACUAAGGAUUUGAAGGAUAUAACUACUGAUCCGGUUGCUUUACUUACUACGGGUCUGAUACCCCGUUAACUAAAUCUGAUUCCUCUGGCAACUGGCAACAAUGCAUUUCAACCUGUGUUUCUCUUAUAAUUAAUUGAACCCCGUCUUUCUCUGUCAACUAAGUAUGGGCCUUAUCCCGCUUCGUCCCUUUCUUUUGAAGAAGACUUACUUUACUGUCUUGGCUUCUCUACUUAUAUAGAUAUUAUUAUUCUCAAAUAGCCCGGUCAACCCUACCACUUACUGCGCGCAAAAAGAACAUUACUUCACGCACAUUCCCUUAAGGUUUAUAAGCCAGUACUUUAUUCCCUUAACCCUGCCCCUAGUCGCUUGGUGGAUUGAUUUCUUUCUUUCCCGCUGAAGAAGGCAUUGAUUCUGCCCCGGCCUGGCCUAUACAUCUGCCCUAUUAUUAAGUACGCAGCUUCCAAAGAUUCUGAUCUUGUGGACCUAACUUGAACUUUGGAUUCUCUCUCUCCUCUGCCUCUGUCCUUUAGUGCAAUGUAUAGUAUAGGCUUUAGUGCUAGGAUAGGGUUAGCAAAGGAAGGAAGCAAGGCAAGGCGCGUUGCUUUUUGAGUAUACGCUUGGCCUUUAUUUCUUUGGUAGUAGCACACUUUCUUCGACUAUGGGCUCAACCUCCUCUUUUGUUUCAUAUUAAGAGUCCGAAGAGAAUUCCACCCUAUGUAAGUAAGCCUAAGUUACAAACUUUCAAUAUAAAGACGGGUUCAAGUCCAUUAACCGAGCGAGCACAAAGCAAAAACUAGGGGAGAGCAAUCAAUACAGUAAAGUCGGGCCUAUCAAAUAGAAAAGCAGGAGAAGGGAGGAACUGAAACUUCAACUCAAAGCAGUGAUCUGGUACUGGGCUGGUGAGAAUGAUACUACGCCUAUGGAAUGAAUGAAAAGGAAAGAAAAUGGAGAGAUAGAAAGAAAAGAACCUGCUAAAGGAUCUACAUAGGCCCCCGCACUUCUUUCAAAUACUAAAGCUUGAUCAGUCGCUCUAACCUUUGGAAAGCGCUUAGCAUUAGAACUUGUUAGCUAUUGAACUUUAAUAAUAAGAAAUUAGAUAUAUAGAAGUCAGUCUAAGUAAAGUCAAUAUAAGUCAAGUAAGUAGUAUCAAAAGAAAUGGUGUAUAAAGCAAAUAUAAGUCAAGUAAGUCAGUAUCAAAAGAAAUGAUGUAUAAAGCAAAUAGCCUGAAAGAUAUCGAUAAUCAAUUCUUUCUAUGACUUAGGGAUAAUACAUAAUACAUAGGAGUAUAAGUAUACACCUGUAGGAAGAGAAGUCGAAUGGCUUUGACUAUAUAUAAAGUGUUAGAUCGGUAGCCCCUUACCCGUACUCCAUUCCUCUAUAAAUUCAGGGGCCGGCAGAAGCAAAAAAGCUAAUAACCGUAUAGGCUUCUUUCUAUUUGAUUUGCUAACCCCGGACAUAACAUAUAAGUACCACACGAUUGAGAUCCAUCUAUACGCCCAUCGUAGUACCGAGGCCCUUCACGGUAGCGCUUCACCUAUAGUCUGGAAUCAAUAACAUGGUUGUACUGUGAAAUCAAUCAAAAUAGUCUGAUUUCUACCGAUCCAAAAGUAAUGAAAAGGAUAUUCAAAGAACAUUGACGCUGCAGAGUGAAGAAAUGCUAUAGUCUGGGUAUCUAAAGAACCGAUCUGCUUCUUCUGUUGACGAAGGGUAGUUUCACUUCACCCCGAUUAUCUUAAUCAAAUAGU